AUGGCGCUGCGGGGCUGCGGGCGCUGGGCGCUCCGGGCCUCGGCCCUGCGCGGCGGCGGCGGCUCCGGGCGGCGGCACCGCGGGCACGGCACCGACACGCCGCAGCACGGCGCCUUGCGGGCGGCCCUCAGGAAGAUCAUCGACAGGGAGAUUAAUCCCUUUGUGGACAAAUGGGAAGAAGAAGGACAGUUCCCAGCACAUAAAGUAUUUAAAACCCUGGGACAGGCUGGAUUCCUUGGUGUGGAUAAGCCAACAGAAUAUGGCGGCAUGGGCUUGGACUUCUCGUAUAACAUUGCAGUGGCGGAAGAGCUGGGAAGUAUCCGCUGUGGAGGUAUUCCUAUGGCUAUCGGGGUGCAAGCUGGCAUGGCUACUCCUGCUCUAACAAGGUUUGGUUCUGAUGAGUUGAGAAAACAGUUCCUCACACCAACUAUAGCUGGGGAUUUUGUGGCUUGCUUGGGAAUCAGUGAAGCUGGAGCUGGGUCAGAUGUUGCAAAUAUCAAGACAACAGCUGUGAAGAAAGGCGAUGAGUAUGUCAUAAAUGGUGGUAAGAUGUGGACGACAUCUGGGUGCCAAGCGGACUGGAUGUGCCUGCUGGCAAAUACGAGUGAAGGACCUCCUCAUCGAAAUAAAUCUCUCAUAUGUCUGCCAAUGAAUCUACAUGGCAUUCACAUUGCUAAAAAGAUAGACAAACUGGGCAUGAGGUCAUCGGACACAGCUCAGAUCUUUUUUGAAGACGUAAGAGUCCCCUGCAAAAACCUCAUCGGUGAGGAGGGAAUGGGUUUUACAUAUCAGAUGUUGCAAUUCCAAGAAGAGCGGCUGUGGGGAGUAGCCACUGUCCUGACACCGCUGGAAACAAUAAUACAAGAAACCAUUGAGUACACUCGCCAGCGAAAGGUGUUUGACCGGUCUGUGCUGCACAACCAAGUCGUGCAUUUCCGCCUGGCAGAGCUGGCCACCGAACUGGAGCUGCUGCGUUCACUGCUGUACCGCACUGUUGCUCUCUAUGUGGAAGGCAAUGAUGUGACCAAGUUUGCUUCCAUGGCUAAGCUAAAGGCCGGUCGUCUGGCCCGUGAAGUGACUGACAGCUGUCUGCAGUUUUGGGGUGGAAUGGGAUUCACCAGCGAGGUGCUGGUGAGCAGAUUUUACAGGGACUUGAGAUUAAUGUCAAUAGGAGGUGGUACUGAUGAAACCAUGCUUUCUAUUAUAUGCAAAUUCAUGGAAACUCUUCCAAGCAAGUAACACGUCUUCACUCUACCUCAAAAAUCAAAGAAAGAGCAUGGAUUUUACUGCAUACUGAAGGCAACGCUUUUCAAGGGUGAAAUAAAUAAAAAAAAGGAACAGUACUUUUUUCCAGCAAAAUACAUGUAUCAAUAUCAUGAUACAUGUUCUCCAAUAUAAAAUUCACACUGAUGGGAAACAGUCUGAAAGCGUGUGGCCUACUGCAAGAUUUUUUUCUGUUUUUAGUGAAUCGCAGCUUUGAAGCCUCUCGUGAUCCACACUAAGCACCCAGAAAUCUUUACAGAAUCAUAGAAUCUUAUCAUCUUCAAUCAAGCCCCACCCCACCACUGAAGAAAGAAGCAAGGGAGGACGGAAAGGAGGAAGAGAGACCCUAUUUUAUAUAAGUUUCCUUUUCACCUGGUUUGACUUUUAAAACAAAAAUCCUGUUGGUUUUAUACAUGAACUGAAAGACAGGUAAGAGGUAUUUUUUUGUUUGUUUGUUUGUUUUACCAGUGUGCUCUGUCAAGGGAAACCAUAGCAUAUUCUUCAGAACAAACAGGACAUCUAUCAGCUGCGUAACUACUUGCAUCCACCUAUUUUCUAUUUUGUAUUAGGUAGAUAAAAACUAUUUCAAUUUAUUGGUAAGACAGAUCAAUUAGUAAGGGGAAAAAAAGUCUAGAAAGAGCCAGAAAAGAAGAAAAAAGCUGAUAUGAGAUAAAGCUUAAAUAUAUUUCCAAAAGAUGACCAACUAUCACAGGAAUGCGGUUGUCAAACGGUUAUGUCAAUAAUUAUUACUCAUUAGACACCUUACACUCCACUCUUUCAUUAAAAUUAUACAUGUGCUUCAAGCUUUGAUGGCAUACUAUAUCCUGUUGACUGUCUUGGGGAAUACUAUAUUUGUUUAGCAAGCCUAGCAAUUCUCAUAUAAAGAAGAUGCAUUGUACUGGCGUUAAUAUUUCAAUGCUGUCUUACUUGUAGAGGUUUUGUAGACCUUUCAACAGUCAAAGAUUAAAUAGGCUAGGAACAGUUACAUUUUAGUUACUUUUAUAUAAAUAUUCAGAUUGUGUGAUUUAGAUGUAAUACUUCUGUUCAAUAUGAAAACUAACAAAAAAAAACGUAGCAUACACCUCCAUUUAUUUUAAUAGCACACAACACACAAGUCUAGCCCCUUAAAUGCAGUACCAUCUCCAAAGAACACUGGUAUUCUACAGCAGAGAAGUAUGUAUACAAACAACAACAAGAAUACUCCAGGACAUUUUAUUUGUUAGAACAUAAUUAAGUUAUUAAUGGCAACGUUAUACAGUAUUUCUAGAAAAGUCAUUCAAAAUUAGAUACAGUUUUCAUAUCUAGAAAACAAUUUUUUUGAACUUUGAACUCAGCAAUGUAAUAGCUUCAACUAUUAGAAACCAUGUGGUGAGCUAAAGCUAAGUGUUAAAAGUAAAAAAAAAAAAGAACUUAAUAUGACAGCACCUCCAACAGGUGCAUCAUAAUAUACUUCAAUACAAAAUUAAAAAUACUCAACCUCAUAUUUCAGACAUGCAGUGUAGAUUUGGGACUCAUCACUGACUGAAAAGUAAAGAAACUAAUGGUAAAAGUUCUAGUGAUUCAAUGGAAUCGUUACAUUUUGGAUAUUUUAAAUAUAAAAGGAAGCACUUGUACUGUGCCCAUAUCUGCUUAAAAGAACAGAUGUGCAAGCAUUAUUGGUCACAUUUAAAUGAAAAAUCCAGUUUUAAGUAAGUUCUCUGCAAAAUGAAAAGCUUAAGCUAUCUAAACAUGUAGACUAAUAAACCUAUCCAUCUGGGCAUCGCAAAAAUAAUUUGAGGAGGGUAUCACUAUUAUUUUUGUUACCUCAGGCCAACCUUUUAAAAAAAAAAAAACACAGAUAAAACCAAUUCAGAAAGAUCCACGUAUUGUUCACGCUUUUGCAACCUAAAAAUUACUACAUGCCUGAAACUGGAGCUCUAAUUUAGAGCAUGGUCCAGAAUG
This is an RNA transcript of Cygnus olor (mute swan), 3204 nucleotides long. It is a transcript of the gene named probable acyl-CoA dehydrogenase 6, with no coding region annotated. The record is from RefSeq and is a predicted model, not a curated record. Lineage: Eukaryota; Metazoa; Chordata; Aves; Anseriformes; Anatidae. The transcript is spliced from 10 exons.